This 480-nucleotide ribosomal RNA is filed under the name uncultured bacterium. RNAcentral's name for it is "partial 16S ribosomal RNA". It matches the Rfam family "Bacterial small subunit ribosomal RNA", at positions 28 to 507 of the family's 1533-position model. The record is from RNAcentral.
GAUGAACGCUCGCGGCAGGCCUAAUACAUGCAAGUCGAGGGGUAUGGGUUGCUUGCAACCCAGAGACCGGCGCACGGGUGCGUAACGCGUAUGCAAUCUACCUUAAUCAGGGGGAUAGCCCGGAGAAAUCCGGAUUAACACCGCAUAACAUUGAGUUGUGGCAUCACAGUUCAAUCAAAUAUUUAUAGGAUUAAGAUGAGCAUGCGUGACAUUAGUUAGUUGGUGAGGUAACGGCUCACCAAGACCACGAUGUCUAGGGGAUCUGAGAGGAUGACCCCCCACACUGGUACUGAGACACGGACCAGACUCCUACGGGAGGCAGCAGUAAGGAAUAUUGGUCAAUGGGCGCAAGCCUGAACCAGCCAUGCCGCGUGCAGGAAGACGGCCCUAUGGGUUGUAAACUGCUUUUGUACCGGAAUAAACCUUCUCUUGCGAGAGAAGCUGAACGUACGGUAAGAAUAAGAAUCGGCUAACUCCGUG